Molecule: long non-coding RNA, 261 nt
Filed under: Elaeis guineensis (African oil palm)
Lineage: Eukaryota; Viridiplantae; Streptophyta; Magnoliopsida; Arecales; Arecaceae
Description: long non-coding RNA (EGUI_LNC053730)
Source: RNAcentral
UAGUAUCAUCAUGAGGAUGGUGAUCGAUUCAGAUAGAUUGACGUACAGAUUGCUUCCUUCGAGGUAGAUGAGUCUUUGGUUUACAGUGUAAAAAUAUUGAGUGAUGAGUGCGGGUAGUUGUGAGAGAAUAACUAGUAUUGAGCGUGAUCAUAUGAGAGAUCACUUGGAUUUUUACUCGAUCGUCAGUCGUUGUCUUGAUACUGUGGUUGUGUAAAUGAUCCUUUGACCUACGAUGGUAUGACUGCUCGCAGUGAGGCUACU